This 722-nucleotide ribosomal RNA is filed under the name Salmonella enterica. RNAcentral describes it as "partial 23S ribosomal RNA". It matches the Rfam family "Bacterial large subunit ribosomal RNA", at positions 1 to 652 of the family's 2925-position model. The record is from RNAcentral. Lineage: Bacteria; Pseudomonadati; Pseudomonadota; Gammaproteobacteria; Enterobacterales; Enterobacteriaceae.
GGGUUGUGAGGUUAAGCGACUAAGCGUACACGGUGGAUGCCUUGGCAGUCAGAGGCGAUGAAGGGCGUGCUAAUCUGCGAUAAGCGCCGGUAAGGUGAUAUGAACCGUUAUAACCGGCGAUACCCGAAUGGGGAAACCCAGUGUGACUCGUCACACUAUCAUUAACUGAAUCCAUAGGUUAAUGAGGCGAACCGGGGGAACUGAAACAUCUAAGUACCCCGAGGAAAAGAAAUCAACCGAGAUUCCCCCAGUAGCGGCGAGCGAACGGGGAGGAGCCCAGAGCCUGAAUCAGCAUGUGUGUUAGUGGAAGCGUCUGGAAAGGCGCGCGAUACAGGGUGACAGCCCCGUACACAAAAGCGCAUGUGCUGUGAGCUCGAUGAGUAGGGCGGGACACGUGGUAUCCUGUCUGAAUAUGGGGGGACCAUCCUCCAAGGCUAAAUACUCCUGACUGACCGAUAGUGAACCAGUACCGUGAGGGAAAGGCGAAAAGAACCCCGGCGAGGGGAGUGAAAAAGAACCUGAAACCGUGUACGUACAAGCAGUGGGAGCCCCACCACUAAGCCAGUGGUGAACUCCACAUCCGCAUCCUUUGCUGAGGAUACGGUUAACGGAGCGAAAGCGACGUUCAACCGCAAAACAAGCAGAGGGGGCUUAGUGGUGGGGUGACUGCGUACCUUUUGUAUAAUGGGUCAGCGACUUAUAUUCUGUAGCAAGGUUAACCG